RNAcentral lists this ribosomal RNA (500 nucleotides) under uncultured bacterium. Its description in RNAcentral is "bacterial SSU rRNA". It matches the Rfam family "Bacterial small subunit ribosomal RNA", at positions 28 to 517 of the family's 1533-position model. The record is from RNAcentral.
GAUGAACGCUAGCGAUAGGCCUAACGCAUGCAAGUCGAGGGGCAUCACAUGAGGCAGCAAUGCCGAUGGUGGCGACCGGCGCACGGGUGAGUAACACGUAUGCAACCUGCCUUCAACAAGGGGAUAACCCGUUGAAAAACGGACUAAUACCCUAUAAUACAGGGGUCCCGCAUGGGGAUAUUUGUUAAAGAUUGAUCGGUUGAAGAUGGGCAUGCGUUCCAUUAGCUGGUUGGUGAGGUAACGGCUCACCAAGGCAACGAUGGAUAGGGGAACUGAGAGGUUUUAUCCCCCACACUGGUACUGAGACACGGACCAGACUCCUACGGGAGGCAGCAGUGAGGAAUAUUGGUCAAUGGACGCAAGUCUGAACCAGCCACGUCGCGUGAAGGAAGACGGCCCUACGGGUUGUAAACUUCUUUUAUACGGGAAUAAAGUGCCCCACGCGUGGGGUUUUGCAUGUACCGUAUGAAUAAGAUCGGCUAACUCCGUGCCAGCAGCCG